GAAUUCUUCUUGUUUAUACUUUACAGAUGAAGUUUUCACAAUUGACAGGAAUGGAGAAAGAAAUAGUGCAAAAUUUGGAGUGGCUUGAAGCUCAGAAAAUAGAGAUAAGCAUUGACCUAAUUGCUGAAGCCAACAAACAUCUUCAGUUUCUCGGAGUUGUUGACCGGAACCGGUGGCUGUACGAUGGUCCUGCACUCAAAAGAGCCAUCUACAGAUAAUUAAACAGAACCACGAUAAAAAGUAAUAAAAAAUAAACAAAAUCACCCAUGGGGUUUGCAUCACACAAGUAAAUACAUUUACAUAAUUUAAUGUUUAUUUAAUUCUAUGUAACAUUUAUUUUUUUCUGAUUAGCUAAGUUUAAAGGGCUUAUUUGUGAUAUAACCAAAAAAAGUGAAAUUAGUUUUAUAGAGAUAGAAUAGAGAGAGAUGGAAAGAAGAAAGCGGAGAUAGAGACUGAUAUUGCUUAGAUAAUGAAUUAUAGUUUUUUGUAUUAUCUCACCCAAUUUCCCAAGUUUAAAUUAAUGAUAAUUAAACAAUAUUGCUACAAUCACCAAUUUAUUAAAUCUAAGGAAAAGAUCUAACCUUUUAGUUUGCGAAUAUAUCUUUGUUUGUUUUUCCUUUCCGUUUACAUAAUUCUCAAAUCAGUAAUUUGGUGAUUUAUUUUUCAGAUACAAUGCCUACAGGCUUCUUUCGCUAGCAAAACAUUAUGAGUCUUCCUCAAUCUGCGAAGAACCACUAGUCUCUCCAAUUGACUGUGAAUGGGUUUGGCAUUGCCACAGGCUUGACCCGGUAAAUGUAAGCAUUGUAUAUCUUUGCAUACAACUCACAUAUGAAAAAGCACACUGUAGCAAAAUAAAAGCACACGGUAGUAGAGUAGUGAACAGUGGGAGGUAAAAUAUGUAGCUCACUAUUUUGUUAAUCAUCCAGGUGAGGUACAAGUCUGACUGUGAGGAAUUCUAUGGGAGAGUUCUGGACAACUCUGGCAUUGUAUCUUCAGCAAAUGGGAGCUGCAAAUUACAGACUGAAAAAUUAUGGAAGAGAUUGUAUCCUAUGGAGCCCUGUGACCUUGAUUUGGAUAAGGCAAUCUCAGAGCCAAUUUCACCUCUUGAGAAAUGCACGACCUAUGAUCUUGUUUCAGCUGCCAAGAGGCAAAGCUCAUUUUAUCUUGAGGUACAAUAAUGAACUUGACUAAAGUAAAUUACAUAUGUUUUACAAGUUUGAAUUUGAAUAUAUUUACAGGAUUUAUAUGGAGUUUGAGUACUUUCUGAUAAAUGCUUGCACUUAAAAUAUUUAAUCUACAACUGAAAUAUUUUGAAAUUCAUAUAAAUACUUCCAAUACAUAUAAUAAUAUUAAUGGGUGUGUUACAAGGUUUCUAAGCCAUUUGUUGGUGUUUCUAUGCUACAGGUUUCAAGAGCCAAUGUACAUUUUCUAUAAAAAAACACUAUUACCUAUACAGCUAACCAUAUUUCAACCAAUAGAAAAAUAAAUUUUGCAUAAAAUUAAUAAAUUUUGCAUUGAAAAUCGAAAACGACACUUAUUUUGUAACGAAAAAAAUUCUCUAAAACGACACUUAAUAUGAAACGGAGGGAGUACUUUGUUUUCAUGCUAUAAAUCGUUUUUAACCAUCACUGGGAAAAACAAGAACCACUAGAAUAUGACAUUUAAGCUUUAACCUAAACUAGGUUAAGAUCCACGCCUUGCGCAGAAUAAAUAUUAUAAAUAAAUUAGUUUUACAUAUUAUAUUUUCUUUUACAUAUUAGUAAAUUAUACAUGUAUAUUGAUAACUAAAAAUUCAGUAACUAUUAUGUAUAUGGUGCAAACACAUAAAUUUUUUUUAUUAAUUCAAAUAAACAUUUUUUCUAUUUUAUAUGAUAUAAAAUUAAGUUUUAAUGAUAUUAAUAUUAAUAUUGAUAUCUGUUAUAUAAUAUUUUACACUCAUAUUGUUUUUUGAUCAUUUGUAUUUUUAAUAAGAAAAAGAUUUGAAUCACUAAUAACAAAUAUUUUUGUGGGAUGUUUAAUAGUUUUAGUCAUUUAUAAUUUUAAAAACAUUAUGAAAUGUUUUAAAACUAAAUAUUAAGUUGUCAUAAUUUGUUCAAAUAUUUUAUAAAAAAAAAUCAAAGCAGAUUUCGAAAUUCAAAUACAUAUGUAUUUCUAUAUGGUACAUAAUUUAUUUUAAACAAUAUUAAUAUAUUAAUAUUUAUUAAAUUAUACUUUUUAUUAUAUAAUUUUGUAAUCAUUUAUAUACUGUUAUAACAAAAAAUUUAACCAUAGAUCAAAAAAAUUUUAAUGUGAGAUUUUUGACAACUUUAGUCAUAUAUAGUCGUUUUUAAAAAUUCAAAAUAUAACAUAUACAGAAAAAUCUAAUUUCUUUCUGUAUAGUUAAUGUGGCUGUUUAAUUUAUUUUAAUAGGUUGAUUUUUUAAAAAAAAUAGAGAAUAGACUAAUUUUUAUCAAAUCUUUAUUAUUCAAAAUUAUUAAUUGUCAUAUAUACUUUAGUAACAUUUGGUAAUUAUGUUAUUUUUAUUUUAGGAAACAAUGAAGAACAUUAAAAAUUAAUUUAUGAUUAGUUUAAUAAAAAUCUUAUUAUAUAUUUUGAUAGACCAAUAUAUUUUUCUAAAGAUUCUAAUAAUGAUUGUGGUAUGACAUGCGUCUACCAAAAAAUAUUGUGAUGUUUCUCUUUUAAUAUAUAGGAGAUUUUAACUAAAAGCCAAAUGAUUAUUUUUUUACCCAUGAUGACUCGUUUUGUAACUGACAUUUUGAAUAUAUAAUGUUAGUUUUUUUUAAAUUUAUUGGUUUUUUCAAUAGUGUUUUGUUUUCAAUGUCUGUUUUCAAGUGAUGUCAACUUUGGAAAAAUAAUGUUAAAAAGCCGUUUUGUUUUCAUUUUCAAUUUUCAAUUUCUUUUAAUUUUUUUACCUUUUGAUUUGCUAUUAAUCACUACUCUAUUAUUUUAAAAGGUUCUAAUAAAACUCAACAAGCGUUAUGCAAAUAUAACCAAACAAACACUUCUUUUUUUCCAAACCAAUACUUGGUUAAUGUAAGACAAGUGUCAAAUAAGAAAAGAGUAACAUCUCUUUGAGUUUUCAUACAAAACGUAACGUCUUUUUGAGUUUUUGUACAGAAGUUAGUAGAAACCGUGCUAUAUAUAGAAGCAUUUGAAACCCUCCUCUCAAACUUGAAUCAACAUCUUCAUCAGAGAAAAAUCCCGUUGAGGUAUAUAGUUUGAAUUCUUCUUGUUCAUACUUCAAAAGUUUAAAGAUUUAAACUUUUGGGGGUUUCUCAUGUUUCUAGGGUAGAAAAAUCUCAUUAAACAUCUCUUGCUCAUGGUAUUGGAAAUUGUAGUUUGAAUUCUUCUUGUUUAUACUUUGCAGAUGAAGUUUUCACAAUUGACAGGAAUGAAGAAAGAAAUAGUGCAAAAUUUGGAGUGGCUUGAAGCUCAGAAGAUAGAGAUAAGCAUUGACCUAAUUGCUGAAUCUAAGAAACAUCUUCAGUUCCUCGGAGUUGUUGACUGUAACCAGUUGCUCUACGAUGGUCCUGCACUCAAAAGAGCCAUCUACAGGUAAUUAAACAAAACCACCAACGCGGUUUGCAUCACGCAAGUAUAUAAAUUUACUUAAUUUAAUCUUUAUUUAAUUCUAUGUUAUAUAUUUUUUUUCUGAUUAGCAAAGUUUAAAAUAAUGAUAAACAAUAUUGCUACAAUCACCAAUCUAUUAAAUCUAAGGAAAGGACCUAACCUUUUAGUUUACGAAUAUAUCUUUUUUUUUUGUUUUUCCUUUCCAUUUACCUAAUUCCCAAAUCAAUAAUAAUUUGGUGAUUUAUUUUUCAGAUACAAUGCUUACUGGCUUCCUUUGCUAGCCAAACAUUCUGAGUCUUCCUCAAUCUGCGAAGGACCACUAGUCCCCCCAUUUGACUGUGAAUGGGUUUGGCAUUGCCACAGGCUUAAUCCAGUAAAUCUAAGCAUUGUAUAUAUCUUUGCAUACAAUUCACAUAUGAAAAAGCACACUGUAGCAAAAAAAAAAGCACACCGUAGCAGACUAGUGAACAGUGGGAGGUAAAAUAAGUAGCUCACUAUUUUGUUAAUCAUCCAGGUGAGGUACAAGUCUGACUGCGAGGAAUUCUAUGGGAGAGUUCUGGACAACUCUGGCAUUUUAUCUUCAGCAAAUGGGAGCUGCAAAUUACAGACAGAAAAAUUAUGGAAGAGAUUGUAUCCUAUGGAGUCCUAUGACCUUGAUUUGGAUAAGGCAAUCUCAGAGCCAAUUUCACCUCUUGAGAAAUGCACGACCUAUGAUCUUGUUUCAGCUGCCAAGAGGCAAAGCUCAUUUUAUCUUGAGGUACAAUAAUGAACUUGACUAAAGUAAAUUACAUAUGUUUUACAAGUUUGAAUUUGAAUAUAUUUUCAGGAUUUAUAUGGAGUUUGAGUACUUUCUGAUAAACGCUUGCACUUAAAAUAUUUAAUCUACAACUGAAAUAUUUUGAAAUUCAUAUAAAUACUUCCAAUACAUAUAAUAAUAUUAAUGGGUGUGUUACAAGGUUUCUAAGCCAUUAGUUGGUGUUUCUAUGCUACAGGUUUCAAGAGCCAAUGUGGACAGUGUGAUCAUUAUGGAAGAAGUUGUUGGUAGAUAUAAAGCAUUCCUUUACUUAAUCAAGCAAAACGGCGAAAAGACGAUCAAACCAAUCUGUGUUCCGACUUAUACUAUUGAUCUAAUUUGGCAUACACAUCAGCUUAACCCUUCCUCUUACUACAAGGAUAUGGUAAAGAUCUUUGGUAACAUCUUACAGCAUGAUGAUACGGCAGACUCUGACACAAGCGAAGGUAUGAAUCUCGACACUGUUUACUCUAGAACUACUGCGCAAUGCGAAGAAACAUUUGGUCAAAGGUAUUGGAAAGCCAGCAAGGAUACGAUGCCACAUACUCUAGUUGUGGUGGAGAUUGAGAAGAGUGGUGCGGGUGCUAGAUGCUUUGCUGAGGCUGCUGAGAAAUGUUGUGCGGGUGCUAGGUGCUUUGCGGUGGAAGCUGAGAAGAACAGUGCUAGGUGUUUUACUGUGGAAGCUGAGAAGAAAAAUGCUAGGUGCUUUGCAGUGGUAGCUGAGGAGAACAGUGCUAGGUGCUUUGCUCUGGAAGUUGAGAAGAAAAAUGCUAUUGCUAUGGAAGCUGAGAAGAAAAAUGCUAUUGCUAUGGAAGCUGAGAAGAAAAAUGCAAGGUUCUUUGCAGUGGAAGUUAAGAAGGACAGUGAUAGGUGCUUUUCUGGGGAGGCUGAAAAGGAAAAUGCAAGGUGUUUUGCAAUGACAGAUGGUAAUUAAGAGCAGUGCAAGGUGCUCUGCAAUGGCCACCAGAAAGAACAGUGCAAGGUGCUCUGCAAUGGCCACCAGAAAGAACAGUGCAAGGUGCUUUGCAGUGGCGGCUGAAAAGAACGGUGGAUUGGGAAGUGUUAAUUUGAUGGAGAACAAUGCUAAGGAAAAUGCUCCACUGGCGGAAGGCGCUACUGCGGCUUAAUUACUCAACUGAAGAAGUUCUUAUGUGUAAUGCUAACGUAAAAUAUGUGUAAUAUAUUAUCUGGAAAUGUUGUGAAACUAAUGAGUGAUGUUUCAAAUGUUACAUGUUAUAAACAUGUACAUACUAAUGUAAAUAAAUUAGUUACAACAGUUUAAUAUCGAUUUGAGUGUUUAUAUUGGAGUGGUAUGUUAUGGAUUGAACUAGAUGGUUGCCCGCGAACUCACGGAUAUAAAUAUUGUAUAAAAAUAUAUAUUAUGUAUACGAUGUUUUUUUUUGAUGAAAUGUUAAAUUUAUUGAUCAUCGAAAGGUAAAAGAAUAGUUAUUUACAAAGAGAACCUAAGAAAUGUUUAUUGUAUGAACAUAUCUUUACCCAAUAUGGGCCAGGAACCACCUCUGCAUCAACCCCUCCAGUCCUUUCUUCUCAUAGUAUCUAAUAGAUAGAAGCCGCUGCCUGAUUGUCUUCUCAAUGAUUCUCCCAAGUUGGGUCGCUGGUCUACUUCGCUGUGAGUGUCGCAUUUCAUUUCUCUCUCGCCAUACGUAAUAGAUUGUGAUUUGCAGAGCUAAUCGCAGAAGGAUAGAAACAUGUCGUAAAGAUUAAAAGUAUACGAUGUUAUAUACUUUGAAAGAUUAAAAGUAUAAUUUUUAACUUCGAAUAGUUUGAAAAUCAGUCGUAAAGUUUAUAUAAAUUUGAUGUAUAGCUGAUGAAUAUUUAGUAUUAACAAAUGCUUAUGAAAUUAUAUAUGUAAUUAUCACAUUAAUUUCACCAACACAUAUUAUGCAUCUUCUUCGGCCUCUUCUUAUUUAUCUCAUUAUCAUUUCAUUCUUUUUAUUUAAUUUUUACUAAUUUUUUCUUAACUUUUUACAUAUUUUUGCUAAAUAUUUAUUUAUCUCUCUAAAUAUUAAUACAAAACAUACAAUCAAUAAACCGAAAAUUCAUCUUAGAAUUCUUUUCAAUCAUAACAUUACCUUAUUCAGUAUAUUAUUUGACUUAAAUGCAAAACAUUUUUUAAAUCAAAGUUUUUGCAUGUCCCGUUAAAUAUAAUCCGUCUAAUUUUUAAAGCCUAGUUAUUUAUAAAUCAUAUAUGGAUAUUAUAAGAGAUUAGUUAGUAUUUUAGAUACGAAUAUAUUUUUAUAAGAAUAUGAAAUCAUUAUAUUGAUUUUUAUAAAAAAAAAUUAUAUUCAUUAUUUUAGGUAGUAUAUAAAUAUAAAAAGAAUUGAUCAAACAUUAUUACACUUUCUAUAAAUUUGAAAAUUAGCUAGCAUUAAUUAUUAUUUGUAAUAUCAUUUAGGGGCAUGUGAUAAUAAUUAGUUUAAGACUUUUGAUCUUAUUAAAAUAAUUAAAAAUUAUAAAAAGUUUCAUUCAUUAUAUUAUUUCGUUCAUAAAUAUAAAAUUAAUUAAUAACAUGUUAUUAUUCUUUUUAUAAUUACAACAAUUAGUUCCAUAAAUCAUUAUUUGUAAUAUAGAUUAGAUUAUUUGGCAAGUGAUAUUAAUUGGUUCUAGAUUUAUUUUUUAUUUUGAAUCUAAAAUAAAAUAAAUAAAAUUAAACUUUAUCGACCAAACAAAUCAUAACAAUUUUCUUAAGACUUCACAAAUGAUUGACACGUAAGCAUAAUUCACUUAUGUAAUUUUUUCGUUUAAUAUAUAGAAUAAUUUUUAUUUUUAUAAAUGUUUAUUAACUCAUAUAAAUAAUUUAAAAUUACGAUCAAAUAAUUUUGUAAGCCAUAAUAGAUAAUUUUGUAAAUGUUUUAUUUUUUUAUAAAUGAAUUAUAAGACAUCUAUGGACAUUAUAAGACAUUGAUAAUUAUUAUAAUUCUCUAUAUACAAAGAUAGCAUUUUAUAUAAGAAUAUGAAAUCAUAAAUCAAUUUCUAUAAAUUGUGUUCUACUAAUAAUUUAUGUAGUAUAUAAAUGUAAAAGAAUUAAUCAAACAUUAUUAGAUUUUCUAUAAUUUUGACAAUUAGAUACCAUAAAUUAUUAUUUUUAAUAUCAUUUAAACUAUUUGGUAAGUGAUAUUAAUUAAUUUUAGACUCACCAUUUUUAUUAGAUCUAAUUAAAAUAAAUAAAAAUUAAAUCGUUCAACCAAUCAAAUUAUAAUAAUUUUUUUGAACUCUCUCUAUGAUUGACACCUAAGCAAAAGUCACUUAAGUGACUUCUUGUUUAAUAUACAGGAUAAAUUUUAUUUUAUUAUAAAUGUUUAAUAAACUCAAAUAAAUAAUUUAAAAUUAAGAUGAAAUAAUUUUGUAAGCCAUGAUAGAUAAUUUUAUAAAUUUUUUAACUUUUUAUAAAUUACUUAUAAGACAUAUAUGGACAUUAUAAGAUAUUAAUAAUAAUUAUAAUGAUUUAUAUACAAAUAUAAUGUUUUAUAUAAGAAUAUGAAAUAAUUAUAUCGAUUUCUAUAAAUUGUGUUCUACUAAUUAUUUUAUGUAGUAUAUAAAUAUAAAAGACGUAAUCAAACAUUAUUACACUUUCUAUAAUUUGACAAUUAUUUACGAUAAAUUAUUAUUUGUAAUAUCAUUUACAUCUAAUUUAAAUUGAUAUUACAUUCAACCAAUCAAAUUAUAAUAAUUAAAAUAAUUAGAAACUGAAUUUUAUUUAACCAAUCAAAUUAUAAAAAAAAUUCUUAAACUUUCUCUAUGAUUGACACAUAAGAAAAAGUCAUUUAAGUGACAAAUAUCACACAUAAUAUCUUUUGGUAGUUCUAUAAGUAGGUAAUUGCACAGAUUUUUCAUCAUUUUAAUAAAUUUGUGAAAUAUAUACAGUGAAAAACUUAUGGACAUGGACUAUUUAUAUAUUUUAAAAUAUUUAUACAAAAAGUCACGACUUUAGAUUUCAGAUAGUUAUUUUAGGUUAGUAUCUAUACAAUAUAUUUUGAAUAGAAAUAUCAUUGAAAAAAGAUACACUACUGAAUAAUGAAAAGAAAUAUAAUUAUAGAAAGAAACUUAUUGAGAUAUUUUAAUAAUUAAAAAAAAAACAUUAAUGAUGAGAAGACACAAUUCUUAAAACUAAUAAUUGUGGAAAGAUAUUUAUUGGGACAUUUUAACAACUUUUUUAAACUACUUUAUUUUUUAUAAUAGAAAAGACACAACUCUUAGAACUAAUAUAUUUCAGUUUUUUGAUGAAAAUACACAAAUUUUAAAAAUUAAUACAUUUUCGGUUUUUUUAAUGAAAACCACAACUUCUAAAUAUUAGUUGAGAUUCCUAUUGUUAAUUAUAUUAAUUGUUACAUAUUAUAUAUAUUAGAUUAUCUUUUGAAAAAUAAUUUUAAAUUUAUCAUAUUUAUAUAUUUAAAAAUGAUUUAGAUUUUACAAUUUUAAACUAUUCAUAUAUGUUACACUAUUUUUAUAAACAUAGAAAUUAUUUUUAAAAUAUAUUUUAUGUUCAUUUAAAAAAUAAUAAUGAGUAAAUAUUAGUUUUAUACUUAUAUUUCAUGUAAAAUCAUAUAUCCGUCUAGCUCCGUUUAGACGCUAAAUAUUUAUCUACCGUGAAACGAACGUCUAGCACGUUUUAGAAUACUGAUUGAAAAUAAGUUCCGCGUGUACCCAUCUAGUGAAAGUUUAAAAAUAAAAAUUGAUGUUUUUUUUACUACAGUUAUAAUCAAUUUAAGCAUACGAAUCUUACAAGGUGCAUGUACAUAUCUAAGAUAAAUUCUCUAAAUUGUUUACUAAGUACGAAAGGUCGUUUAUGAGAAUCAAAUUCACAAAGCCCUCAAAAGUGGGUAAUCUUCAAGUAGUUUCUUUUUUGACAAAGUGCUUCUUAUUAUGCGGGGUCCACAGUACUUCUUCGGCCUGCAACAUUUGUUUUUUACACCAUUCAGGAAGGGAGCCUAAUGCUUCACAUAGUCAGUUUUGUAACUGGUGCUUUGUUUUCAGUGCAAUAAAGUGUUUUUUCAACUUAGUCGGUUUUGAAACUGAUACUCUGUCUGUUUAAUUAUAAGUUUCGUUUUAGGUUUCGGCACACAGAUUAAGGAAACAAUUAAUUUUGUACAUUUUCUAUAAAAAAAACACUAUUACCUAUACAGCUAACCAUAUUUCAACCAAUAGAAAAAUAAAUUUUGCAUAAAAUUAAUAAAUUUUGCAUUGAAAAUCGAAAACGACACUUAUUUUGUAACGAAAAAAAUUCUCUAAAACGACACUUAAUAUGAAACGGAGGGAGUACUUUGUUUUCAUGCUAUAAAUCGUUUUUAACCAUCACUGGGAAAAACAAGAACCACUAGAAUAUGACAUUUAAGCUUUAACCUAAACUAGGUUAAGAUCCACGCCUUGCGCAGAAUAAAUAUUAUAAAUAAAUUAGUUUUACAUAUUAUAUUUUCUUUUACAUAUUAGUAAAUUAUACAUGUAUAUUGAUAACUAAAAAUUCAGUAACUAUUAUGUAUAUGGUGCAAACACAUAAAUUUUUUUUAUUAAUUCAAAUAAACAUUUUUUCUAUUUUAUAUGAUAUAAAAUUAAGUUUUAAUGAAAUUAAUAUUAAUAUUGAUAUCUGUUAUAUAAUAUUUUACACUCAUAUUGUUUUUUGAUCAUUUGUAUUUUUAAUAAGAAAAAGAUUUGAAUCACUAAUAACAAAUAUUUUUGUGGGAUGUUUAAUAGUUUUAGUCAUUUAUAAUUUUAAAAACAUUAUGAAAUGUUUUAAAACUAAAUAUUAAGUUGUCAUAAUUUGUUCAAAUAUUUUAUAAAAAAAAAUCAAAGCAGAUUUCGAAAUUCAAAUACAUAUGUAUUUCUAUAUGGUACAUAAUUUAUUUUAAACAAUAUUAAUAUAUUAAUAUUUAUUAAAUUAUACUUUUUAUUAUAUAAUUUUGUAAUCAUUUAUAUACUGUUAUAACAAAAAAUUUAACCAUAGAUCAAAAAAAUUUUAAUGUGAGAUUUUUGACAACUUUAGUCAUAUAUAGUCGUUUUUAAAAAUUCAAAAUAUAACAUAUACAGAAAAAUCUAAUUUCUUUCUGUAUAGUUAAUGUGGCUGUUUAAUUUAUUUUAAUAGGUUGAUUUUUUUAAAAAAAUAGAGAAUAGACUAAUUUUUAUCAAAUCUUUAUUAUUCAAAAUUAUUAAUUGUCAUAUAUACUUUAGUAACAUUUGGUAAUUAUGUUAUUUUUAUUUUAGGAAACAAUGAAGAACAUUAAAAAUUAAUUUAUGAUUAGUUUAAUAAAAAUCUUAUUAUAUAUUUUGAUAGACCAAUAUAUUUUUCUAAAGAUUCUAAUAAUGAUUGUGGUAUGACAUGCGUCUACCAAAAAAUAUUGUGAUGUUUCUCUUUUAAUAUAUAGGAGAUUUUAACUAAAAGCCAAAUGAUUAUUUUUUUACCCAUGAUGACUCGUUUUGUAACUGACAUUUUGAAUAUAUAAUGUUAGUUUUUUAAAAAUUUAUUGGUUUUUUCAAUAGUGUUUUGUUUUCAAUGUCUGUUUUCAAGUGAUGUCAACUUUGGAAAAAUAAUGUUAAAAAGCCGUUUUGUUUUCAUUUUCAAUUUUCAAUUUCUUUUAAUUUUUUUACCUUUUGAUUUGCUAUUAAUCACUACUCUAUUAUUUUAAAAGGUUCUAAUAAAACUCAACAAGCGUUAUGCAAAUAUAACCAAACAAACACUUCUUUUUUUCCAAACAAAUACUUGGUUAAUGUAAGACAAGUGUCAAAUAAGAAAAGAGUAACAUCUCUUUGAGUUUUCAUACAAAACGUAACGUCUUUUUGAGUUUUUGUACAGAAGUUAGUAGAAACCGUGCUAUAUAUAGAAGCAUUUGAAACCCUCCUCUCAAACUUGAAUCAACAUCUUCAUCAGAGAAAAAUCCCGUUGAGGUAUAUAGUUUGAAUUCUUCUUGUUCAUACUUCAAAAGUUUAAAGAUUUAAACUUUUGGGGGUUUCUCAUGUUUCUAGGGUAGAAAAAUCUCAUUAAACAUCUCUUGCUCAUGGUAUUGGAAAUUGUAGUUUGAAUUCUUCUUGUUUAUACUUUGCAGAUGAAGUUUUCACAAUUGACAGGAAUGAAGAAAGAAAUAGUGCAAAAUUUGGAGUGGCUUGAAGCUCAGAAGAUAGAGAUAAGCAUUGACCUAAUUGCUGAAUCUAAGAAACAUCUUCAGUUCCUCGGAGUUGUUGACUGUAACCAGUUGCUCUACGAUGGUCCUGCACUCAAAAGAGCCAUCUACAGGU
This 11608-nucleotide long non-coding RNA is filed under the name Brassica napus (rape). Its description in RNAcentral is "long non-coding RNA (BNAP_LNC018203)". The record is from RNAcentral. Lineage: Eukaryota; Viridiplantae; Streptophyta; Magnoliopsida; Brassicales; Brassicaceae.